UUGGAUGUGAUGAAGAACUUGAAGCUUGAUCUCUACUGUGAUGGGUCAUGUAUUCAUACUGUCUGAUCCAG
Molecule: small nucleolar RNA, 71 nt
Organism: Varanus komodoensis (Komodo dragon)
Lineage: Eukaryota; Metazoa; Chordata; Lepidosauria; Squamata; Varanidae
Source: Ensembl